This 75-nucleotide transfer RNA is filed under the name Lignipirellula cremea. Its description in RNAcentral is "Planctomycetes bacterium Pla85_3_4 tRNA-Met". It matches the Rfam family "tRNA". Rfam says of the family: Transfer RNA (tRNA) molecules are approximately 80 nucleotides in length. Their secondary structure includes four short double-helical elements and three loops (D, anti-codon, and T loops). The record is from RNAcentral. Lineage: Bacteria; Pseudomonadati; Planctomycetota; Planctomycetia; Pirellulales; Pirellulaceae.
CGCGGGGUGGAGCAGUCCGGUAGCUCGCGAGGCUCAUAACCUCGAGGUCGCAGGUUCGAAUCCUGUCCCCGCAAC